UGGUGCUGUGAUGACUGGUCUGUGGCAGGAUGAUGUCUUUGCUGUAGUCAGCUGAUCCAGUGUCCGAGAGUCACAGAGAAGACUCAGCUGACAGUACACAGUACACAGGGUCGUGAUAGCUGUAAUAGGUUUUCAUCACACCAGAAUAGAGACAUCUCUGUUGUUGUGAGAUGAAGAUCAGGUCCAGCAGUGUGUUCUUCUCUGUGGUUGCAGCAGUGAUGAGUUCAACUCCACCAUCACUUCUGCUGGCCAUCUGAGGGAACUUUGUGUAGGACAGGUGUCUGUUGCAUUUGAACAUGUUGUAACCUUGUAGGUGGAGACUCUCAGCAACAAAGGAGCCCUGUAGAUGAUCCUCAUUCAUUAUCAUCAUCAUCAUCAUCAUCAGGGAGUGUGGGGUCACACAGCUCAGCCUCAUCUCUGAUACUUAUGUCCUCAUACUGUGGGUGAAUGUGUUUCAGUUUAUUCAGGGCCUGUAGCAGUUUAGACCAGGUGACAGUCUGGAACAGCUGAUGACCUCUGUAACACAAUCGUCUCUUCAGUUUGACUCUCAGGACUUGAGACUCACUUCUCAGUCUGGGUAACGCUUCAACUGUUUCCUGCACCUCAGAUGGGACACACACCACAUUACCACGUAUUGCUCUCUGUCUGCCUUUGGGAAGUGAGAUGAUCUUAGCAAAUGGAAAACACUUGGCGAUCAGAUGUCUCUCCAAAAUGUUGAGGUCACACAGCUCAGGUGGAAUAUCAACAAGCUCCAUGUUGUUGGCUACAGCCAGAGAGGGCAUGGCUCCUUUUUAAGAUGAUCAUGACAGGUGUGACAGAUCCAUUCAUCCUUUCUCUCAUCAGGAACUUUACACUGUUCAUUUCUGCAGCCGUCAUCACAAACAUGAACAUAUUUUCCUGUCAGACAUUCAGCAGCCACUUCUACAGUGCAGACGUAAGUGGGGUUUGUAUGUGAUCUGAAAACAGAUAUGGCCUCUUUGAUCAAACCGUGGUCACUUUCUGGGGUUUGUCUGUUUAUCCGUCUGUAUUUCCUCUUUAUUUUCAUGGCACAUCUCAUGCUGUGCAGAAUUUUAAAUGCAAGAUUGUUGUUAUAUCUGUCUCGCAUUAUUUGUUUCAUGAGUUGUCUGUGUUUUAU
This is a long non-coding RNA of Lates calcarifer (barramundi perch), 1135 nucleotides long. RefSeq lists it as uncharacterized. The record is from RefSeq and is a predicted model, not a curated record. The transcript has 4 exons. NCBI's taxonomy places the organism in Eukaryota, Metazoa, Chordata, Actinopteri, Centropomidae.